Long non-coding RNA from Pistacia vera, 2494 nucleotides. RefSeq lists it as uncharacterized. The record is from RefSeq and is a predicted model, not a curated record. The transcript is spliced from 3 exons. NCBI's taxonomy places the organism in Eukaryota, Viridiplantae, Streptophyta, Magnoliopsida, Sapindales, Anacardiaceae.
UCCAUGUCCCCUUCAGCCUCCCCACCUCUCCUACCCCCCACCACAAUCGGUUCCUAACCUCACCCAAUCUAAACCUAAUCUCUCACCCCCAGCCCUUACAACCCAGUUCCCCACCUGAUCACAGCAUCGCGGCGGAUUUGUUGCUUUAAUCCACCGCGACCUAGGGUGUCCUCCACUAUCUGAGCUAGAUCGUGGUGGAUCGAGUGAGAUCACAAAGCAAUCGCAUUCUUCUGUCACGAUCUGGCCGAUUCUGGUUUGUAGUUAAUUUUUUUCUUCAGUCCCUCCUCAAAUGGCGACCAAGCAGCAGUUGAUUUUUUUUUUCUUUUUUGGUUGUUAGGUAAAUAAGAAAUUGGUGACGAUCGAUCACAUUUGGGUUUUUUUUUUUUUUUUUCUUAAAAUUCAAUAUUCCUUGUCAUCGAUCUCACCAGUUUUUUAUUCUCCUAACACCCAAAUGUCAUGGAAGGCCUCUUAUGACGACUGUAAAGAUGUUGUUGAAGCAAAUAAUACUUUUUUUUCUUUCACUGUCAGUAUACUUUGUGUUUUACUUGAGUAUUUCUUUUUAAUUAAUUUUGUAUCGACAUAGUUUGUGUUUUACAACUAUCAACUGAUUGUGUAGUAUGUUUGUUGCUAAGUGUGUCUGCAAUCUAUGGAACUUUAUGAGAUGGAAUCCUUUGCGAAUAGGAGAAGGAAGUUCUGCUAUAAGGACAGUAAAAUACUGCCUCAUUCUUCGCAAAUUCAAAUUGAUAUUUUUGCUGUUUAGUUACUUUUAGCUUAAAGAUUUUGUUGAAGCAAACAAAUACUGCUUCUAUGAGUAUACUUAUAGCAUUUUUUGUGUUGCAACAGAUAUUCAUGUCAAUUCUGUAUUAUAUUUCACAUCCAUUCUAUACUAUUUAAUACUCAUCUGAUUGUUGUAAUUCUUUAGCUUUAAGUUGGGAGCAUUUUAUUUUGAUUUUGGAGGAGCAUUUUAUUUUGAUUUUGGAGGAGCAUGCUGUAAGAUUUUAGUUGCUUCAAUUUUUGCAAAUUCAAAUUGAUAUUUUUGCUGUUUAGUUACUUUUAGCUUAAAGAUUUUGUUGAAGCAAAUACUGAUUCUAUGAGUAUACUUAUAGCAUUUUUUGCGUUGCAACAGAUAUUCAUGUCAAUUCUGUAUUAUAUUUCACAUCCAUUCAAUACUAUUUAAUACUCAUCUGAUUGUUGUAAUUCUUUAGCUUUAAGUUGGGAGCAUUUUAUUUUGAUUUUGGAGGAGCAUGCUGUAAGAUUUUAGUUGCUUCAAUUUUCAGUUGAUAUCAUCUUUGUCAGCCUGCUUUGUGUAAUUAAGAUUUUGUUGAAAGUUAGUUGAGUUGCAAAUUUGAUAGAACUUCUUUCGCAAGAAUUUACCUUUAUAACUUUUUCUGCUUGCCCGUUUGAAUCCUUAAAACCAUUUUCCUAUUUGCUUCAUCACUGCUUGUUUUGUUUUAUCUAGCAAUAUUUAUAUUUAGUUUCUUUGUGGUUGUUAUAGCUCUGAUUUAUCUAGUAUAUUUGUAUUACUUUUACAGGUUCCUUUUACUCUCGUUCAAAGGUGGUCUGAUUAUUCGUCUGAUUAUCUUGUUGUGGACAUGCAUGGCUCUAAAGAUCUUUAUACAUUUAUUCAGGCAAUUAACACAAUUUUUGGUUAUAGGUGCCCUAUAAGAUCAGAUGUUGUGAAGUUUAAAGUUUCUUGUACAUUUCUUGAGGAAAUUAAGACAAAUUGUGGUUAUGGGUGGCCUGUAAAGUCAGAUAUUGUCAAGCCUAAAUUUGAUUAAUAGCAUUUUCUCUUUCUUCUUAUUUGUUCAUUUUUAUUACUAACUGUAUGAUAUUCUACUUUGUUUGCUUGUUGAAGGUUGGUUUGAUUGGUUCUGAGGAAAUUCUUCCACGGGAAAAAAUAUCAAUGGCAUUGGCAGCGGUUUCAAAAAUGUAAUCCUUGAGAUCCAGUCAGACAAUGAUCUUCCCUAUUUUUUGACUAAGAUGACUAAGGAUCAGAUGGUAGCAGAUCUUGCCUAACGGUCAAAAGUAAGCUUCUGGGUAUGUAUAGUUUUGUGGUUUGCUGGCUGCUGGUAUCCUUGGGUAUAUUUUCAGAGGUGGAUUGCAACAACCAAUCCAAGCUCUCAGAUGAUGCCAAUGCUGGACACAAGCAACUCUAUUUGAUCUGCUUCAUGAAGACGAGGACUCGUGCAUUUGGAUGUGGGCAUUACGUUUCUUGCCACCAAUGUGCCAUAGUAGCAAUUGAAAAUGAACAUGGGUGUCUCACUUGUCACAUGCCAAGCCAUAGUUUGCUGUAGUUAAGUUUCCCUUAAGGUUGGAGUUUGGUAAGAUUCAAUGCGCAUGUAUUAGUCAUCGGGAAAUUUUUGUCAACAUGCUUCAUUUGAUAGCUCUUGAAAGCUCCAGGAAGUGGUGACUACUAAUUUGGAGCAGCUGAUUGCUGUCUUGGACAAAGUUACAAACAAUUGUUACAGAAUAAAUAACAAGCCCAUGUACUUGU